RNAcentral lists this ribosomal RNA (397 nucleotides) under Marimonadida sp. RNAcentral describes it as "partial small subunit ribosomal RNA". It matches the Rfam family "Eukaryotic small subunit ribosomal RNA", at positions 582 to 975 of the family's 1831-position model. The record is from RNAcentral. Lineage: Eukaryota; Cercozoa; Imbricatea; Marimonadida.
AUUCCAGCUCCAGUAGCGUAUAUUAAAGUUGUUGCAGUUAAAAAGCUCGUAGUUGGAUUUCUGGCCUGACGAAACUGACCCGCCGCGGUUACGUGUGUGAGUGUCGGGCUUCGUCUGCCAUCCUUCCAGAAAACGUUUCUACCCUUCACUGGGCUGGAUUCGCGAUCUGGAACUUUUACUUUGAAGAAAUUAGAGUGUUCAAAGCAGGCUUGCGCUGUGAAUACAUUAGCAUGGAAUAAUAAUUUAGGACUCAGGUCUUAUUUUGUUGGUUCUUAAGAUCUAAGUAUUAAUUGAUAGGGAUAGUUGGGGGUGCUAGUAUUCAGCGGCCAGAGGUGAAAUUCUUGGAUUCGCUGAAGACUAACUUAUGCGAAAGCAUUCACCAAGGAUGUCUUCAUUG